CCUAUUUAAGCAAAAAGAGGAAGAUGACUAAAGGCUAUCUAGGUGGUCCCCACACAUGUGGACAAAGCCCUCCAAGUACUUCUUGUUCCAAGUCUCUUUCCCGUAGCUUUCUUUUAAAAGCCCAAAUGACUAGAUGCUUUCCACUAGCUUGUGGUCCCCCACCAAUUCAAGGGCCCAAGAAUUGAAACCCUUAGAAGUCUCCCUAAUUUCCAUAAAGUCCUUCCUUUUUUUAUGGUUUUCUGCUUCAUUCUUGAAAUUAAGUCCAGAUACCAAAUAUGAGUAAAUAUUAAUAAUUAAGCAAUAUUUGGCAAGGAUAAAAAGGGAGAUUAAUAAUAAAAUAACUAACAAUUAACACCCUAUCAAUUUCCCCCACAGCUAAACCAUGCUUGUCCUCAAGCAUGAGAACAGUAAACAAGCACCAAUAUUUGAUAGUGGAUAUUGCUCUAUCCAACAAAUUGCCAAGAUACCAAGAAAAAUAAUAAUCAAGCAUCAAUGAUUAAGAUCCAAGAAAUAUCACUUUGGUUAGCUUCUAAACCACAAACUCCUCUAAUUUCAGGUUAACUAAUCUAAGAAAAAGGAAUAACGCAUAACAUUUAUCAGCAAAUGGUCCAACUAUUAACCAAAAUCUCAACAUUAAAUCCAUAUUUCGGCAAGCUGACUUUUAUUACACACUAACACAACCUUCACUUUUUUUUUCAUAUUUUUUCUACUUUUCUCUCUUUUUUUUUUUGAUUCUCUUUUUUUUUUCCUUCAAUAGUAACAAAAGACUUAGUCGCUAGCCAUUUGAGCCUUUUGACGCGAACUCCAACAUUGGUCAGAUGAAGGAGCCCGGUUACUCAGCUUCUAUCGCCACGUGACCACGUACUCAUAACAAUUACUACUUUUUGACGCGAGAAUCGAGACUUUUAGGUGCAGAUCCCCGGUUACUCAGUAGUAACUAAUAGCGGAGUACAGUCAAGUUUAUUUAUAGUUAAAAAUCACAAAAACUCAAUAUAACACAAGAACCAAAAGAAAACUUGCAUCAGCUAACCUCAUUUUCAAACAUGGAGAACUAAAGUUAAUAACCGGACCAAUUCACAUGAAAAUGCCAAUAAUCAUUCCCUAUGCCUAGGAAAGUUAACCAAAAAUUAUAAGAGUAAAACAAUCAUUGAUAUUCACCAAAGAGAUGUUUUUGGAUUCAACCACAUUAACUUGGUACCCUUUUAUUCUUAAAACUUGGCAAAAGUAGAAAUAGAGGCAAUAAUCCAACAUCAAACCUUGGCAUGCACUUACGAGCUAAUCACUAAAAAAAGAAAAAAAAAAUAUGAAAGACACUAGCACCAUAACUGCUCCCCCCACACCUAAAUCCUACAUUGUCCUCAAUGGAGGUAAUAAAGUAAUGAAAGUGAAGAGGACAACGAAACUUCCCUCUUUGAGUGGCCAAGAGGUAGGCGGGGGCGGUGGAGGAAACCAAUGUGGUAGAAGUACGCGGCCAAGGUCUGAGACAUCUCAACUCAAUUCAACCAGCAAAUGCAAAACUCUGUCCACCCAAAAUCUCAAAAAAAUGGCUCCAGUUGGCCAGUUAAUACCUUAACUUAAAAUCAGCAAUUUCAACAAUGACAACUUAGAUAUUUGACAAUACCAACUCAGCCAACCAAAUAGAUGUACCAAAUUCAAUUGAAAAUAUUUCCACCAGUACCACUGGGGGUAAAACGUAGUUCAAAAUCAAUGAAAUUGCUAUAGCAGAGUACAGCAGUAGUAAAGCAAAAACCCCAAGUGUUAAUCUAGUCACAAGAAAGAUUCUGAACCUCUAAAGAAGAGCAACAGGAGACCAGAAUUCCAAUGAAUAGAGCAAGUAGAGGAACUGAAGGUGGGAACCCAGUCCACCGAAGUCAAUAAACAAACCCAGGAAACAAAUAAGUCCGCAAAUGAGUCAACAAAUUGCACAAAUGAUCAGACCAAAAUCACAGACACUGCUCCUCCAAAUCAGCAAUAUAAACCAACAUCCAAAAUGUCCUCAAAAACUCGAUUAAAAACUACUAAUGCCAACAAGGAAUGCAGUUGCCGAAUUAAAUCAACCGAAAUCUCAACAAGCACAACACUGGCCGAGAUUCUUCCCAAAAUAUCACAGACAAUUGUUAAAAUUCCAGCCCACCCAAGAACUUCAACAAUUGCACCCAACUGGAGGAAGCAAUGUAAAUAGCAUAGAAACUUCCCAAUUUAACAAACAAGUGCAAUAUUCCAGCUUACCCAAAAUUUCAACAAAAGGCUCCAGUUGGCCAGUUAAAAUCUUAAUUCAAAAUCAGCAAUUUCAAUGAAAACGGCUUAGAUAUUGGACACUACAAACGCAGCCAACCAGAUAGAGGUACCCAAUUGAGGUAUAAGACCGGCAUGCUACAUGAAUGCUGCCAAAUUCUGCGCCAUGCUAUGCACAUUGUUAAUUAGACAUAAUCACUAAGCAAUAAGCAAUGAAAGUGGCACAGUAGCCUUCCAAAUUAACAAACAAAAGCAGAAAUUACUCAACUCACGUCACUCCAAUGGACUCAAGAUAGAAGGCAGGACAAUAGACUCAGGUGAAACCAAAAAUGACCCCAACAAAGUAGCAAAUAAUGACAAAAUGAACUCACCCCUAAAGCCCAAAAGUUGUCACCAAUUGGAAAGUCCAAUACAUAACUCAACUGGGAGCAAAUAUAAGCACAAGGGUUUGGGUUUUCAGGCAAACAGCUGACCAAACACACAGGGAAGAAGCAAUUCAAAUAGGCCGCCCAAAACACUGAUAAAUCCAUCAGCACAAGCAGUACCAGAAACAGAAGAAACCAAAACGGCAAUCAAUUGUGGCAAAUAACUCCUAAGGCAGCCCCAAACAUGCACUAGAAACUCCAAGCAAGGCACAGGUAAAGAAAAUCAAGCAAUAUACCACUUGCUAAUAUCCACCCAAAAUCCCAACAAAUGCUCCCAAGAAAUCAGCAAGUCUAGUAAUAGCAGGUCAGCAUUUAGGCAAUAACAACUUAGUCACAAGUUCUGAGCUUUCAAUCCCAACAGCCACACCAAUGAGAAUGAAUAAAUGUUAGGCAACUACCACAACCAGUACCACUGGUGUACGCACAGGGAAGAAUGAAAUCAAACGGCAAACUCAAUUCACUAAGAAAUACAAACAACACUAGACAGUACUUCAAGAGCCCAAACAAAUGACAAUUAUAUUAGACUAGGCAAAUCAGUUGCAGGUCAUAACCCAACCCACGGGCUCCAGUAACACAGAUGCAAGCCAAUCAAAUUUACUCAAUGAAAUCGUAAUCAUCAAAAUCCCAUCAUCAAGAAAUUGGAAUCGUAGACCACAAAAUUAGUAAGAAAAACCUGGCACCAGGGAGGUUGGGCAACCAACGGCAGCGCUGAUCUGUGCGUCGCGAGUGGUGGAAGUGGACGAGCGGCGUGGUCUGUCAGCUUGGGCUUCGUCGACGAGCUGUGGCGGCGCUGGUGCCACGCGCGGGCAGCGCAUGGUGGGCAGAGAGAGGUGCUGCGAGCUGGUCAACGGCGUGCGGCAAUGGGGGAGAAAAAGAGAGCUGGUGAUGGCCGCGAGGUGAAGCUGGAGCUGGACGAGAGGCGGCGCGCGUACAGGGUGGGUGACUGGUGGGGGGAGCUCGAUGCGAGGGGGAUAGCGGCGGCGGAUUGAGCAGCGGCGGCGUCGAUGGAGAUCUUGUGGUGGCUGCGCUGCUCGGCGGCUGGCUGUGCGAGAGAGAGACGGCUGGUGGAGGUUGGUGAGCGGCUGGAUCCGGCAGCGUGCGGCGGUCGGCGGGGGUCUGCUGUGUGGCGGCGCCAGAGGACUGGUCGAGCGCGCGGCGGCGUGCGCAGAGAGCAGGGGAGCAGCAAAACAGCGGAGAAGAAAGAAAAGAGAAAGAAAGAAGAAAAAAAAGAAAGAAAAAGAAAGGAAAGAAAGAAAAGAAAAGAAGGAAAAAAAAAGGGAAAUUUUUUUUUUUUUUUUUUUUAAGACUUCGGGGGAAAAUUUUUCUUCUUCUUGUUUUUUUUUCUUCUUUUUUUAUUAUUUUUUUUUAAUUUUUAAUUAUUAUUAUUAUAAAAAAAAAUUUUUAAUUAAUUGAAAUAAUAAUAAUAGUUCUCCUAUAUUUUUUUUUUUUUUUGAAUCCUUACCUUUCCCACGAAUGUGACGCGGGCACGUCAUGAGGGCAGGAGAGCUCCCAGAAGUUUCAGAAUUUCCUGAUCGUGAGCGUCCUGCGCAUCACCACGCGGGCACGUCAUGAGGGCAGGAGAGCUCCCAGAAGUUUUAGAAUUUCCUGAUCGUGAGCGUCCUGCGCAUCACCACGCGGGCACGUCAUGACUGAAGGGCACCUAUAAAUCAGCAAAAACGAAAAUUAACACCCAAAAUCAGUCAAAUUCAAGGAAGAACAGAUUUAAACUAUGACACGAAACCAACAAACAACUAAAAGAAACAAUUGGGUUGCCUCCCAAUGAGCGCCUUUCUUUAAUGUCUUUGGCUAGACAUUAUUAUGUUUUUUUCAUGGAGGAUAAAAUCUUGUGGCUCGUCUCAUUGCUUCAUCCUCUACAUAGUCCUGAUAACCCUCAUAGAUGGAGUAAUCUUUGAGCACACGAGCUACGGUCUUCCAUGGAUUAGUUGAUGGUGCCAAAUAAUUAAGCAGUGAUCUUAAUUUUUCCUCCACCCCUCCAUCAAGAGCACUCAACGGUUCAAGAUAUUUGACCAUAGCUACUCUUAACUUAUUUCUGCCAUGAGACUCAAAAACUUCCGGUAUAACAAAAUCAAUCUCAUUAACAGAAAUCAUGGAAUAAGAGUUAAGAAAAUGCGGGUCAGGGAAUGGAGGUGGUGUCACCACAUUUGAUGAUUCUUCACUGGAUUCUUUCACUCCAAUGGGUUGCGGUUGGGGUUCCAUUUCUUCAUUUUCGGCUUCUUUUGCAACUGCAUUUGUAGAUUUCUCAUUUUGACAUUCUUGCAUCUCCUCAUCCUUGUCCUUAGGGAUCACAGGCUCAGGCCCUUGAACCUCUUUGCCACUCCUCAAGGUCAUGGCGCUGACAUUCUUCGGGUUCAACUCAGGUUGAGAUGGCAAUUCACCUUGGUUCUGGGAAUCCGAACGAUUGAUUGUUGUAGCCAUUUGACUUGUCUGAUUCCUUAUAUCCUGCAUUUCGGAGUCCGUCCUUUGUUGAUUUUGCAUAAUGAUUGCCUCCGUCCUUUGCUGAUUUUGCGCCAUUAUUGUCAUCACUUGUUUUAUCAUCUCCUCCAAAGAUGGACCAGAGCUUGGGGGCGGAGGUGGUCGGGGUUGGUAUUGCUGCUGGUACCCUGACAGGGACGAUGGUUGUUGAGACUCUUGCUGUUGAAAAUCCAUUGGCCCGGUCGCAUAAUCAAAACUGGAAUUAUCCCACCAUUCUUGAUCAUACCCGUUUGAAUAAGGGUCAUACUGCAUUUGAUAUUGGGGUGGAAAAUCUCCAAAAGUAUCAAUUGGAGCACUUAGGUUGUCUUGAAAUGCGGGGCAUGUGUCAGUUGAAUAACCUGAGUCAAAAUGAGUUCCACAAUUUGCAACAGCCCAUUGAUCAUUAGGAAAAACAUGAGUCUCAUAACCCCAUUCACGAACAAAGUCCGGUCUAUCAUCAAAAUAUGGAAUGUUAGCAGCCAUAAACUAUAUAAAAAAAUAAGAGAAAAAUAAAUUAAAAAUGGAAACAAGGUGAACUCAAAAAGAAACAAAUUAAUCUAACAUCAGUCCCCGGCAGCGGCGCCAAAAAUUGACAGGUUGUCGAAACCUGUGCAAUAAUAAAACCUAAAAAUUGACAGGUUGUCGAAACCUGUGCAAUAAUAAAACCUGCUCAAACUAAAAGUAAUUUCUGUAGAUAGUGGUGAGCAGGGUCGAAUCCACAGGGACUGGGGAUAAUUCGUUUCUUCUAGAGUCCAAAGUAUGGGGGGUUUUGGAUUAAAUGCUAACUAAAUAAAUUAACUGCAGAAAAUAAUUAAUUAAAAGAAAUAAUUAGAGAAACUCUAGCCAAGGAUACACUUCAGAAAUGGUUCAUGCACUGAUCAUUGAUGCAGGAAUAAUUCCAACAUUUAUUAACAAAUUAGUUAUAGUUGUCAUGCACGCGAUAAACAACCAACCCUUCCUUAAUUUAUUGAUAGCUAAGGUACGACCGUUAGCUAUUUCCCUAACCCAAAAACAACCCCAGGUACGACCGUAGGAUUUAAUUUCUAGGUUGCAUUAAUAAUUAGAAAGGCCCAAUCCUGACUAACAAACACGCUACGAGGGUUUAUUUAAGCCAGAUCAAAUAUUCCCCUGACACAAUUCCAAUUAUGCCAGUUGCUACUGGGAUAGAGAUAACGAACAAUUACGGAUUCAAUUACCCCUAUAUAGCAAAAUAGCCUGUAUGAAUAAUUAAUUAUUGCGCACUAAUCAAUCAUCCACACGCACUAUAACGGUUAAAAGCAGGAAACAUAUGAAUACCAAUAAAUGAAGGAGGCAAUUAAAAUAAAUUAGAUCUCACAGUAAUUAUUGAACCAAAUCUUCAGUUGUCCCCUUGACUAGAAACACUUAACCACGCCUCAUGAGAAACUCUCCCCGUUGGGGCAUAUUGUCGAACACCUGGCGUGUGUCAGAGGCCAGUCCGGAGAAAGCAAAACUAAAACUAAACUAAAAGACUACUAAAAACUAGAGAUGUCCCCGCUACUCUACGUUAUCCCUAUUUAAGCAAAAAGAGGAAGAUGACUAAAGGCUAUCUAGGUGGUCCCCACACAUGUGGACAAAGCCCUCCAAGUACUUCUUGUUCCAAGUCUCUUUCCCGUAGCUUUCUUUUAAAAGCCCAAAUGACUAGAUGCUUUCCACUAGCUUGUGGUCCCCCACCAAUUCAAGGGCCCAAGAAUUGAAACCCUUAGAAGUCUCCCUA
RNAcentral lists this long non-coding RNA (6867 nucleotides) under Coffea arabica (coffee). RNAcentral describes it as "long non-coding RNA (CARA_LNC001015)". The record is from RNAcentral. Lineage: Eukaryota; Viridiplantae; Streptophyta; Magnoliopsida; Gentianales; Rubiaceae.